This 163-nucleotide ribosomal RNA is filed under the name Sonchus asper. RNAcentral describes it as "5.8S ribosomal RNA". It matches the Rfam family "5.8S ribosomal RNA". From Rfam's summary of the family: 5.8S ribosomal RNA (5.8S rRNA) is a component of the large subunit of the eukaryotic ribosome. It is transcribed by RNA polymerase I as part of the 45S precursor that also contains 18S and 28S rRNA. Functionally, it is thought that 5.8S rRNA may be involved in ribosome translocation. The record is from RNAcentral. Lineage: Eukaryota; Viridiplantae; Streptophyta; Magnoliopsida; Asterales; Asteraceae.
AAUGACUCUCGGCAACGGAUAUCUCGGCUCACGCAUCGAUGAAGAACGUAGCAAAAUGCGAUACUUGGUGUGAAUUGCAGAAUCCCGUGAACCAUCGAGUUUUUGAACGCAAGUUGCGCCCGAAGCCAUCCGGCCGAGGGCACGCCUGCCUGGGCGUCACGCA